CAGGGGGAGAAAUGCAGCCUCAGCAUUACUGACCCGAGUCUGGGUCUGCGUGGGCAGCUCGCCGAGCGGACGGGGAAGGAGCGCCAGCCUUUCCCACAUCCCCUUUGCGACCGGGAUUUCUAUGUGCAACUUUGUUGGAAGAAGUAGUCUCCUGCUUUUUAAGAGAUGAAGGAUACCGAUAAGACACAAAGCAAUGAAGACUUGUCCCAACUGGAGCACUGGAUUCCCAAGGUUUUGCCCCAAGAUGACCCCCUCAGUCUCUGGCCGUGGGUGUGUUCAGGUCUUGGAGCUGCAGCCCACCCCUCCUUAGCCCAAACUCACUAGUGAGGAGAGGAACCCCAAACCAGAGGAAAACAGUGAUCAGGGCAUUAAAAAAUAAAUAAAAGGAAAGCAUUAUGCACGCAGCCCUUGGCAAGCAAACUUCCCACCCUUCGGAGAACCACGUCGCCCCGCCUUAGCCCAGGCCGGCAGGGCAGCCAGCUCCUGCUAAGACAGUCCCGGUCCAAGGGUCAAGUCUCGCUCGCCAGGUGCCACGAUGCGGGAACAGCCUGCUCCGAGGAUAUGGACCUGGGAUGGAAACGGGAGACCCAGAGCGGCCGCGGGGGCACGGGCUGUGCCUGGCAUGCUGGGCAGGCCUUCAGAGGGCUGAGCAAGACCGACGAGGAUGCGGGAGCUUCAGGGAAAGGAGCUCCUCCAGAAAUCGAAGUGGAUUUGAGGCCGAAGGCGAUCUUGCUGCCUGCUCCUGCCGCGGGAAGUCUUGUUGCCCGUCCACGGGGUCGUGACUGUGAUUCACGUUCCUGCUUUGCCAGGGAUUUUUCCUUUCCUCCGUUGUGUCCUGGCUCUGACUUCUUCACCCUGUGGAUUCCCACGCGGGGCUCAAUGGGACUGAAUUAGCCGCCCCGGAGGCACUCGCUGAUGGGCCUUUAGACUUGGAAAUUCUCCUCUUGGCCGGGUGACUUUCAGGCCGGAUGCUUCGGGGCAAAUAGCUUAGUGGUUUGGGGUCAUGCAGUAGCUUGAUUUUUUUUUUUUUUUUUUUAAUUAUUAUUAUUAUUAUUACUAUCCUGCUCUCUAAAGGGCCAAGUGUUUUCCUGUUUCCACGGAGGUGGCGCUGGAAUUUUUUCUUACGUCUUCGGGUCUCGGUCCUGGAAGCGUGGAUGGUUUGACUAGGCAAGGAAAGCAUGUUGCUCAUAUGCUGCAGCCUCUUGCAGCGGGAAUAAUAAAAGCAAAGCCACGCGGUUUUUCGUUCUUCUCUUUUUUUCGGAGCAGAGUGCCACGAGGAUCACACCGGGGUUUGAACAGUUUGGUGACGUGGUCUCGCGAGUCUGACGCUGCGAGGUGAGCAGCUGUGGGAGGUCCCAGAUGCUCCGGUGCUUCAAGCCCAGGAGAGGCCAUCGAUCCCAGGAGGAUCCACCGCGUUUCUAUAGGUGCUGCUCCAUUUGGAGAAUAUAUGAAGCUCGGCGUGUGGCCCGGUGAAGCAACACCUUGGACCCACAACCACAGCUGCAGGGACAUCAAGGUGACAGUGAUGGCUUCACCCACAGAAACACUUCUUAAUAAAUCCAUUUCCUGCCUUGUUCAUGCCCGGUCUUUUCCAUUUGCUUUAUCACGGAGACCUCCACGCUGAGGCCCUGGAGUGCAUGAGGCUGACUAUAAAGGCUGUGCUUGGACAACCUUGGCCCAAACCAAGCAAAACUGCAUAUGUACCAGCCUGGCUGGGCCAAAACAGGCUUCCCUGUCCCAUCUCUUACCUGUGACUUUAAGCACCCCUAAUGGCCAUUACAAUUUUAACUCCCCCCUCCUUCAAGUGCCUGUUUUUUUCCUCCAGCUCUACAUGUGUUUCCUACCCUAUAGUGUCCAUGCAAAAGGCAAGGAGUUACCAUGUACGUAUACAAUAAAAGGGAGAUCCUAAAUGAUGAAGGUUUUACAUAUUCUUUUUUAAAAUGGUUUGAGAUCUUGUGCCUUCUUCAGUUCUUUUUAAACGUAGACUAUAUUGUGACCAAAGACAAAGUAGAAUAAAGAGAAGCAAAGCCUCGUAUAAGGGUAUUGGCAGUGUACAACCACGAUGUGUCUUCUCAAAGGUUGAUAUUGGAGCUUGGGCACCCAUUUUAAUGGUUUAACUUUGUUCGGCUUCCUGCAUGCCUUUGAUUUAGUGUCUUUGUCCUCUUGAAUAUGCGAUUAAAACUUUCAGAUACCU
Molecule: long non-coding RNA, 2194 nt
Organism: Alligator sinensis (Chinese alligator)
Lineage: Eukaryota; Metazoa; Chordata; Crocodylia; Alligatoridae
Exons: 4
Source: RefSeq, a predicted model, not a curated record